Molecule: non-coding RNA, 109 nt
Organism: Acanthosepion pharaonis
Lineage: Eukaryota; Metazoa; Mollusca; Cephalopoda; Sepiida; Sepiidae
Source: the annotation of a GenBank genome assembly
UUACGGCCAUAUCACGUUGAAACAACGGUUCAAGUACGAUCACCGAAGUUAAGCAACGUCAAGCUUGGUAUCUAGAUGGGUGACCACGUGGGAAUACCAGGUGCUGUAA